Molecule: ribosomal RNA, 1245 nt
Filed under: Triticum aestivum (bread wheat)
Lineage: Eukaryota; Viridiplantae; Streptophyta; Magnoliopsida; Poales; Poaceae
Description: partial small subunit ribosomal RNA
Source: RNAcentral
AUGGUUGACACCAUAGACGGUGAGGAGGAGCACCCCGGUGUGAUUCCGUCCUCGUCUACGACCGAUGGGGGAACCUCGGUCUCACAUGAGGAUUUCAAUGUAGCCUUGGACACAUUGAAAACCUCCAUGACAGCCGAGGUCAAAGGCAUGCUUAAGAACUUUCUUGAUGGUCUUAAAUUGUCCACCGCACCGUUGGAAGUGGUCGAUCCCACUAACAAGGUGACGGAUGCUAACUCUGACAAGGGGGAAGCUACUAGUGAUAAAGUUUAUUUGUCUAGUGGUAAAAGUGGAAACGGCAUCUUUGCCCAUGUUGAAUCUCCUCUUACUUAUGGAGGACCGGUUCCCUCCACUCAUUUAAAUCAUGUGGGUUCUCCUCCUAAGAUUGUGAAAAAUGAGGAUUUUGACUCUUGGAUCUAUUGCUUUAAACGUCAUUUAAAUAAUGUCAAUACUAAUUUUUGGAGAAUCAUUGAGCAAGGUUUCUAUCCGCAUGACCCAAGCAACUUCACCCCUAGAGAAGCCGCGGAUCAUCAAUUCAACGAGAAUGCUCUCUUCAUCAUCCAAGAUGCAAUUCCAUCCGAAGAUAUUGCACAUCUUCGACCUUUCACCAUGGCCAAGGAAGCAGGGCACCAUGUUGUUUCCCUUUACAAGGGAAGCGCAGGCAUUCAACGCUCCAACUAUGAAGUGGUGCAAGAUGAAGCCGAUGAGUUUGCAGUGAAUGAAGAUGAAGAACGUCUAGAGCUUUACCGGAGAUUAACCACUGCCGCGGUCUCACUCCGAGAUCAUGGGAGCGAGGAUACGGAUGAAAAUUGGAUCAAGCGCAAGUUCCUCAAGGCCAUGAUGCCUUACCACAAGGCCAUGUCCUCCGUCAUUCGUCAAAGGUCGGACUUCCACACCUUGUCUUCAAGUGAAGUGUUGGAUGAGUUUGUGGCUAUGAGGAUCUUGGACAAGACCGCCGACAAUGCGGUGUUGCAUUCUCAAAGAGCAAAGAAGCCCAACCUUGCCUUGAAUGCCAAGGCUAGUGUGGAAGAAGAGGACGAAGAGGAAGAAGAGGAGAGCAACCCCGAAGAUACGAAAUAUGCUUAUCAUGAGCACAUGGCUCUCGCUUCAAGGCAAUUUUGGAUCAAGAAGAACACAAGGCCCAACUUCAACAAGAACAACUCAAGUGGCGUGAAGGGCAAGCAACGUGUGAGGACUUGCUAUAAUUGUGGGAAUGUGAGCCAUUUUUUUUGCAGAGUGCCCAUAUGA